CAAAAGAUCCACAAACUUUAGGUCACCAAAGAGAGCUAACAUUCACCACAAAGAAAUGUAAAGAGAAAAAUAUUCUGGCAAAGUAGCUACAAUGCAAAGUGACAAUAUUGCAAUUACGUUUGUAUGCUCUAUUCAAGAAGGUUCAAGAGCAAUCCUUUUAAUGUGGAACAUAUUCUAAUGGAGAAAAGAGGAGAAGGUAUCAGAUGUUUUCCUUAUCAACCAUACCUUGAAAGCCCCAGAUGAAUGUUCCUUGGUUAAGAUGCCCUGGUAGAUGACCAAAAAAGUUUGACCAGUUAUCAAAGUCUACAAAGACUAUAUGAGUCAUGGUUCGCAGAUAAUCCAAAUCUGGAAGUUCAACAACUUCUUCAUCUGAGAAGAGAAACAUUAACAUAAAUUUAGUAAGAAUUAGCUAAAAACGCUUUAAUUUUUCAAGUUUAAAAGAUACUAGAGAAUAUGCAAAAAUAUUAAUCUUGAAUAUUAUUAAUUUCUACUUAAACCUUUUCAUGAGAUCCAAACCUAUACAUGAUACAGUAUAUUUACACCAGAUAAAAAAUAUUCUGAAUACUUC
Molecule: long non-coding RNA, 568 nt
Filed under: Lynx pardinus (Iberian lynx)
Lineage: Eukaryota; Metazoa; Chordata; Mammalia; Carnivora; Felidae
Source: RNAcentral